UACGUAGGGUCCGAGCGUUGUCCGGAAUUAUUGGGCGUAAAGGGCUCGUAGGCGGUUCGUCACGUCGGGAGUGAAAACUCGGGGCUUAACCCCGAGCCUGCUUCCGAUACGGGCAGACUAGAGGUAGGCAGGGGAGAGCGGAACUCCUGGUGUAGCGGUGGAAUGCGCAGAUAUCAGGAAGAACACCCGUGGCGAAGGCGGUUCUCUGGGACGGUACUGACGCUGAGACGCGAAAGCGUGGGGAGCGAACAGG
This 253-nucleotide ribosomal RNA is filed under the name uncultured bacterium. Its description in RNAcentral is "partial 16S ribosomal RNA". It matches the Rfam family "Bacterial small subunit ribosomal RNA", at positions 524 to 776 of the family's 1533-position model. The record is from RNAcentral.